Molecule: long non-coding RNA, 135 nt
Filed under: Neogale vison (American mink)
Lineage: Eukaryota; Metazoa; Chordata; Mammalia; Carnivora; Mustelidae
Description: Neovison vison (American mink) lncRNA (ENSNVIG00000009662.1)
Source: RNAcentral
CAGCUUCAGCUGUACAUAAAGGAGCCCUGGUAGCUUCUGCUGAGACUUUUCAGUAGAAAAUCCUUCAAAAAAGAAAAAAGAAAGAAAGAAGCAGCUAUUUUGAAGACUGACUUUCUAAAAUUAUAUUUAGCCUCC